Molecule: ribosomal RNA, 458 nt
Filed under: Brachybacterium tyrofermentans
Lineage: Bacteria; Bacillati; Actinomycetota; Actinomycetes; Micrococcales; Dermabacteraceae
Description: bacterial SSU rRNA
Rfam family: Bacterial small subunit ribosomal RNA
Source: RNAcentral
UCCUUGCUCAGGAUGAACGCUGGCUGCGUGCUUAACACAUGCAAGUCGAACGAUGACGACCGGGCUUGCCUGGUCUGAUUAGUGGCGAACGGGUGAGUAACACGUGAGUAACCUGCCCCUCACUUCGGGAUAACCUCGAGAAAUUGUGGCUAAUACCGGAUAUGAACUUCCGCCGCAUGGUGGUUGUUGGAAAGUUUUUCGGUGAGGGAUGGACUCGCGGCCUAUCAGUUUGUUGGUGAGGUAAUGGCUCACCAAGACGAUGACGGGUAGCCGGCCUGAGAGGGCGACCGGCCACACUGGGACUGAGACACGGCCCAGACUCCUACGGGAGGCAGCAGUGGGGAAUAUUGCACAAUGGGCGAAAGCCUGAUGCAGCGACGCAGCGUGGGGGAUGACUGCCUUCGGGUUGUAAACCUCUUUCAGUAGGGAAGAAGCGAAAGUGACGGUACCUGCAGAAA